Molecule: ribosomal RNA, 940 nt
Filed under: uncultured bacterium
Lineage: Bacteria
Description: bacterial SSU rRNA
Rfam family: Bacterial small subunit ribosomal RNA
Source: RNAcentral
AGAGUUUGAUCAUGGCUCAGAACGAACGCUGGCGGCGUGGAUAAGACAUGCAAGUCGAACGAGCUUAGUUUUGUAGCAAUACAAGGCUAAGCUAGUGGCGAACGGGUGCGUAACACGUGAGCAAUCUGCCUUAAAGUGGGGGAUAGCUCGCCGAAAGGCGAAUUAAUACCGCAUGUGGUUGUAAAACCAAAGCCGGGGCAACCUGGCGCUUUUAGAGGAGCUCGCGGCCUAUCAGCUUGUUGGUGAGGUAACGGCUCACCAAGGCUUCGACGGGUAGCUGGUCUGAGAGGACGACCAGCCACACUGGAACUGAGACACGGUCCAGACACCUACGGGUGGCAGCAGUCGAGAAUUUUUCUCAAUGGGGGAAACCCUGAAGGAGCGACGCCGCGUGGAGGAUGAAUGCUUUCGGGUUGUAAACUCCUGUCAUUUGGGAACAAAGCCUUACGUUAACUGCGUGGAGGUUUGAUAGUACCAGAAGAGGAAGAGACGGCUAACUCUGUGCCAGCAGCCGCGGUAAUACAGAGGUCUCAAGCGUUGUUCGGAUUCAUUGGGCGUAAAGGGCGCGUAGGCGGCGGGGUAAGUCGGGUGUGAAAUCUCAGAGCUCAACUCUGAAACUGCACUCGAUACUGCUUUGCUAGAGGACUGGAGAGGAAAUUGGAAUUCACGGUGUAGCAGUGAAAUGCGUAGAGAUCGUGAGGAAGACCAGUGGCGAAGGCGGAUCUCUGGACAGUUCCUGACGCUGAGGCGCGAAGGCCAGGGGAGCAAACGGGAUUAGAUACCCCGGUAGUCCUGGCAGUAAACGGUGCACGUUGGUGUGCGCGGAUUCGACCCCGUGCGUGCCGGAGCUAACGCGUUAAACGUGCCGCCUGAGGAGUACGGUCGCAAGAUUAAAACUCCAAAGAAAUUGACGGGGGCCCGCUCAAGCGUUGAGUAUGUG